CCUACGGGAGGCAGCAGUGAGGAAUAUUGCGCAAUGGGCGAAAGCCUGACGCAGCGACGCCGCGUGGGCGACGAAGGCCUUCGGGUUGUAAAGCCCUUUUGGCAGGGACGAGUGAGGACGGUACCUGCCGAAUAAGUCUCGGCUAACUACGUGCCAGCAGCCGCGGUAAAACGUAGGAGGCGAGCGUUAUCCGGAUUUACUGGGCGUAAAGCGCGCGUAGGCGGUCGGUCAAGUCAGAUGUUAAAGCCCCGGGCUCAACUAGGGGAGGUCAUUUGAUACUGUCCGGCUUGAGGGUGAGAGAGGAGAGUGGAAUUCCCGGUGUAGCGGUGGAAUGCGUAGAGAUCGGGAGGAACACCAGUGGCGAAGGCGGCUCUCGGGGGUCAACCUGACGCUGAGGUGCGAAAGCGGGGGGAGCGAACCGGAUUAGAUACCCGGGUAGU
Molecule: ribosomal RNA, 440 nt
Filed under: uncultured Anaerolineae bacterium
Lineage: Bacteria; Bacillati; Chloroflexota; Anaerolineae
Description: partial 16S ribosomal RNA
Rfam family: Bacterial small subunit ribosomal RNA
Source: RNAcentral